GUCCACGCCGUAAACGAUGGAUACUAGCUGUUGGGGGUAACUUCAGUGGCUAAGCGAAAGUGAUAAGUAUCCCACCUGGGGAGUACGUUCGCAAGAAUGAAACUCAAAGGAAUUGACGGGGCCCGCACAAGCGGUGGAGCAUGUGGUUUAAUUCGAUGAUACGCGAGGAACCUUACCAAGGCUUAAAUGUAGAUUGACCGGUUUUGGAAACAGAUCUUUCGCAAGACAAUUUACAAGGUGCUGCAUGGUUGUCGU
Molecule: ribosomal RNA, 255 nt
Filed under: uncultured bacterium
Lineage: Bacteria
Description: partial 16S ribosomal RNA
Rfam family: Bacterial small subunit ribosomal RNA
Source: RNAcentral